Molecule: ribosomal RNA, 266 nt
Filed under: uncultured archaeon
Lineage: Archaea
Description: partial 16S ribosomal RNA
Rfam family: Archaeal small subunit ribosomal RNA
Source: RNAcentral
AGGGUGUAAACGCUGCAGACUUGGUGUUGGAAGCCCUUUGGGGGCGAUUCAGUGCCGGAGAGAAGUUGUUAAGUCUGCUACUUGGGGAGGUACGUCCGCAAGGAUGAAACUUAAAGGAAUUGGCGGGGGGAGGCACCACAACGGGUGGAGCCUGCGGUUUAAUUUGGACUCAACGCCGGGAAGCUCACCGGAUAAGACAGCGGAAUGAUUGCCGGGCUGAAGACUCUGCAUGACUAGCUGAGAGGUGGUGCAUGGCGUAGACGUCU